CAGUACUCCAACGAUCUGAGCAACACAUCUGGGAACAUGCUAAACAGUCUGGUAGGGAAAAAGAACAACUUGC
Plasmodium vivax (malaria parasite P. vivax) is the source of this 73-nucleotide non-coding RNA. NCBI's taxonomy places the organism in Eukaryota, Apicomplexa, Aconoidasida, Haemosporida, Plasmodiidae. The record is from the annotation of a RefSeq genome assembly.